This 406-nucleotide ribosomal RNA is filed under the name uncultured bacterium. RNAcentral's name for it is "partial 16S ribosomal RNA". It matches the Rfam family "Bacterial small subunit ribosomal RNA", at positions 30 to 526 of the family's 1533-position model. The record is from RNAcentral.
AUUGAACGCUGGCGGCAGGCCUAACACAUGCAAGUCGAACGAGUGGCGGACGGGUGAGUAAUGUCUGGGCCUGUGCCUGGUGGAGGGGGUUAACUACCGGAAACUGUUGCUACUACCGCAUAUCAUCAGCUGGGCCCAGUUGGGUUUUGCUAGUUGGUGGGGUAACGGCCCACCAAGGCGAGGAUCCCUAGCUGGUCUGAGAGGAUGACCAGUCACACUGGAACUGAGACACGGUCCAGACUCCUACGGGAGGCAGCAGUGGGGAAUAUUGGACAAUGGGCGAAAGCCUGAUGCAGCCAUGCCGCGUGUAUGAAGAAGGCCUUCGGAUUGUAAAGUACUUUCAGCGGGGAGGCGUUACCAGCAGAAGAAGCACCGGCUAACUCCGUGCCAGCAGCCGCGGUAAUUC